GACGAACGCUGGCGGCGUGCCUAAUACAUGCAAGUCGAGCGAACCAAUAAGAAGCUUGCUUUUUGUUGGUUAGCGGCGGACGGGUGAGUAACACGUGGGUAACCUGCCUGUAAGACCGGGAUAACUCCGGGAAACCGGUGCUAAUACCGGAUAGAUUAUCUUUCCGCAUGGAGAGAUAAGGAAAGAUGGCUAUUGCCAUCACUUACAGAUGGGCCCGCGGCGCAUUAGCUAGUUGGUGAGGUAACGGCUCACCAAGGCGACGAUGCGUAGCCGACCUGAGAGGGUGAUCGGCCACACUGGGACUGAGACACGGCCCAGACUCCUACGAGAGGCAGCAGUAGGGAAUCUUCCGCAAUGGACGAAAGUCUGACGGAGCAACGCCGCGUGAGCGAAGAAGGUCUUCGGAUCGUAAAGCUCUGUUGUUAGGGAAGAACAAGUAUCGGAGGAAAUGCCGGUACCUUGACGGUACCUGACGAGAAAGCCACGGCUAACUACGUG
RNAcentral lists this ribosomal RNA (498 nucleotides) under uncultured bacterium. RNAcentral describes it as "partial 16S ribosomal RNA". It matches the Rfam family "Bacterial small subunit ribosomal RNA", at positions 28 to 507 of the family's 1533-position model. The record is from RNAcentral.